GGGGCUGUGGCGCAGCUGGUAGCGCACUUGACUGGCAGUCAAGGGGUCAGGGGUUCGAAUCCCCUCAGCUGCA
Molecule: transfer RNA, 73 nt
Filed under: Pseudonocardia sp. SCN 72-51
Lineage: Bacteria; Bacillati; Actinomycetota; Actinomycetes; Pseudonocardiales; Pseudonocardiaceae
Description: tRNA-Ala
Rfam family: tRNA
About the family: Transfer RNA (tRNA) molecules are approximately 80 nucleotides in length. Their secondary structure includes four short double-helical elements and three loops (D, anti-codon, and T loops). Further hydrogen bonds mediate the characteristic L-shaped molecular structure. tRNAs have two regions of fundamental functional importance: the anti-codon, which is responsible for specific mRNA codon recognition, and the 3' end, to which the tRNAs corresponding amino acid is attached (by aminoacyl-tRNA synthetases). tRNAs cope with the degeneracy of the genetic code in two manners: having more than one tRNA (with a specific anti-codon) for a particular amino acid; and 'wobble' base-pairing, i.e. permitting non-standard base-pairing at the 3rd anti-codon position.
Source: RNAcentral